CGGGACGGGGUGGAGUAAUGUCUGGGAAACUGCCUGAUGGAGGGGGGUAACUACUGGAAACGGUAGCUAAUACCGCAUAACGUCGCAAGACCAAAGAGGGGGACCUUCGGGCCUCUUGCCAUCGGAUGUGCCCAGAUGGGAUUAGCUAGUAGGUGGGGUAACGGCUCACCUAGGCGACGAUCCCUAGCUGGUCUGAGAGGAUGCCAGCCACACUGGAACUGAGACACGGUCCAG
Molecule: ribosomal RNA, 234 nt
Filed under: uncultured bacterium
Lineage: Bacteria
Description: partial 16S ribosomal RNA
Rfam family: Bacterial small subunit ribosomal RNA
Source: RNAcentral